Long non-coding RNA from Patella vulgata (common limpet), 1982 nucleotides. RefSeq lists it as uncharacterized. The transcript is spliced from 5 exons. The record is from RefSeq and is a predicted model, not a curated record. Lineage: Eukaryota; Metazoa; Mollusca; Gastropoda; Patellidae.
UGAGUUUAUAUAUUUCUAUUUCAGAAGGGAAGAGGAGAUCAAGUUUAAUGAUAUAUAUCUUGUAACAAAUUUAACAAUGCUCACUAAGAAACAGACUUUGACAAAGAUGGCUUAUGAAGGACUGCAGCUCAACAAUGUGCACGUAAUGCAGAGUAACAUUUGUAGAUCAGCUGCUUGCUGUUACAGCUUUCCGGAUAAGAAGAGACAACGGACGACAUUUUCCCCAGUACAAGUCUCAGUCUUAGAAGAACUUUUCACGCAAACCCAAUAUCCGGAUAUAUUUCUUCGCGAAAAGAUUUCUCAGAAAAUAUCACUUUGUGAAGCUAGAAUUCAGGUCUGGUUUCAAAAUCGAAGAGCAAGAUGGCGUCGAGAAUUUAGAAAAAAGUAUGGAAAUUUCCCUUGGCCAAGAGGCCGAGUUAGCUCUGUAUAUCAUGGCACCCAAUCAACGGAUGCUGUCCUGUCAUCUACUGCGGCAGCCAACCCAGAAGCAAGUCUUUAUUCUAGGACGUUAUUGGAUUUAUAUGCCAGACAUAAGAAUGAAUCUAUGUAUAGUGCAGUCAGUUUCGGCAUCCAAGGGUCCCCGUCACUGAUGCCGUUUUUAUUACCAGUAGGAUCAGCAUUGCUACCAGCCGCUACCACAUCUACCACCAGCAGUCAACCUGCAAAACAAACCUGAUGAAUUAUCAUCUGCAUCUUCAAUGCCAGUGAAUGUUGUGUUUAUUUGACGUGCUGUUUGUAAUUAUGUAGUGUCCAACCUAAAGACAAUAAUUUGAUAUCGUCCUAUAUUAUCAUAUUGGUGUAUGUCAGUAUUACAUCAAGACCUAGGCUGGAGGGAGGAGCCGCGGUGGCUCAGAGAGUAAGGCACUGUCUCACUAACAAGGGGUCCGGGGUUCGAUCCCGGAGUUGGCUGAUUUAAAUCCCCGGGAUUUUCCAGCGUUGUAUCCCCUUUUCAGUGGUGCAAGAGUUUCUAGUCGCUUGGAUGGGACGAAUCACCAAGGUCCCACAUACACGUUGACGUGCACGUAAAAGUGUAAUGACUGAUGAAUUACGAAAUAAGAGUAGGCCAUAGCGCCGAUGCUCGAGCAAAAUUUCCCUCGUAGCACACUUCAUUAGCCAGGACCGUACAGAAAAGUAGGACGUUAAAGCGAAUUUCAUUUGACUAGAGGUCAUAAAAGUUUUUAAAAUGAAAUUUUAAAUUAAAUUAUUAAUUUGUAGUUUGUAAUUCAUCACAUGGCGUAUAUCCAAUGGAGGCAAAUCAUUAUUGGUAUGGAUUAACUAACACCCAUUCAGACAAGUUAGACUUCAUAAUAUUCAAAAAAGUUGGUUUCUCAUAAAACUUUAGGGCACUAAAAUGUUGGGACCAAGUGCAUUUAAGAUUUUACACUUUAAGUGGACUGAGCUGUUAUGAUCGUCUAUUUCAUUCGGCCCGAGGACAACAAAUGACAUUUCCGCCAUGUACAGACUUGCUGUCUGGAUGGUUGGUUGGACAUUCAAGUGCAUCAGUCACCUCUUGAUAUUAGGAGAAUCUGAAAUAUGAUUUGGAUGAAAUGAUUUUCAAAUCUUUGGCUUUAAUUCUAAAUAUUCUACACUCGGUUAUAUUCCAAUCUGAUUAAAAUACAGAUCUAUAUUUCGUUUCGUUUUUUAUACUUUCGAUGGCCUACACUACAUGAAGAUCUGACAAGUUAUAGCGAUAGGUCACGUCAGGGAUCAAAAGACCGACUUAUGACCCUAUGACGUCAGACAUUUGAUUAACCAAUCAGCAUUGAUGUUACUAGAUGAUUACCCACAGUUCCGUGAAAAACACGCCUAAAGCUCGCCGUAACAGACCGUUUUAUUGGCUUAUCCCUGACACCAUUCAGAACACGAGUUAAAUAACAACUCUUCCAGAUCCAAGUGUAGUAAAGCCAAGUAAAACAAAAUUUUGAAUUAUAAAAACGAAACGAAAUAGGAUCUGUGUUUUAACCAGAUUGGUUAUAUUCAAA